This 484-nucleotide ribosomal RNA is filed under the name uncultured bacterium. RNAcentral describes it as "partial 16S ribosomal RNA". It matches the Rfam family "Bacterial small subunit ribosomal RNA", at positions 30 to 507 of the family's 1533-position model. The record is from RNAcentral.
AUUGAACGCUGGCGGCAGGCCUAACACAUGCAAGUCGAGCGGAUGAAGGGAGCUUGCUCCUGGAUUCAGCGGCGGACGGGUGAGUAAUGCCUAGGAAUCUGCCUGGUCGUGGGGGAUAACGUCCGGAAACGGGCGCUAAUACCGCAUACGUCCUGAGGUAGAAAGUGGGGGAUCUUCGGACCUCACGCUAUCAGAUGAGCCUAGGUCGGAUUAGCUAGUUGGUGGGGUAAAGGCCUACCAAGGCGACGAUCCGUAACUGGUCUGAGAGGAUGAUCAGUCACACUGGAACUGAGACACGGUCCAGACUCCUACGGGAGGCAGCAGUGGGGAAUAUUGGACAAUGGGCGAAAGCCUGAUCCAGCCAUGCCGCGUGUGUGAAGAAGGUCUUCGGAUUGUAAAGCACUUUAAGUUGGGAGGAAGGGAAGUAAGUUAAUACCUGGCUGUUUUGACGGUACCAACAGAAUAAGCAACGGCUAACUUCGUG